GACGAACGCUGGCGGCGUGCUUAACACAUGCAAGUCGAACGGGAGUAUCGAAGAAGCUUGCUUUUAAGAUACUUUAGUGGCGGACGGGUGAGUAACGCGUGAGGAGCUGUCCUAUGCAGGGGGACAACAGUUGGAAACGACUGCUAAUACCCCAUAAGCCGAGAGGUAAAAGGAUUUAUCCGGCAAAGGAGGUACUCGCGUCCUAUCAGCUAGUAGGUGGGGUAACGGCUCACCUAGGCGAAGACGGGUAGCCGGCCUGAGAGGGCGAACGGCCACACUGGAACUGAGAUACGGUCCAGACUCCUACGGGAGGCAGCAGUGGGGAAUAUUGGGCAAUGGGGGCAACCCUGACCCAGCGACGCCGCGUGGGUGAAGAAAUCCUUCGGGAUGUAAAGCCCUGUUGUAUGGGAAGAGCAGAAGACGGUACCAUACGAGGAAGCCCCGGCAAACUACGUGCUAGCCGCCGCAGUAA
This 472-nucleotide ribosomal RNA is filed under the name uncultured bacterium. Its description in RNAcentral is "partial 16S ribosomal RNA". It matches the Rfam family "Bacterial small subunit ribosomal RNA", at positions 28 to 523 of the family's 1533-position model. The record is from RNAcentral.